GGUUACAGAGGCCGGGGGUGCUGGGGGGGCCCUGCUUGUUGUGGAGGGGUCCCCAGGCUGAGGGAAUCUCCAGCGCUUCCCAGGUUGGAGGCGUUCGUGAUGGCUGUAGGAGGGGUUCCCAGGCUGAAGAAAUACUACCCGCCGGACUUCGAUCCUGCUAAGAUCCCAAAGCUCAAACUCCCAAAGGACCGACAGUAUGUGGUGCGGCUGAUGGCCCCCUUCAACAUGCGUUGCAAGACGUGUGGUGAAUACAUCUCUAAGGGGAAGAAAUGCCCGUAAGGAGACUGUUCAGAAUGAGGUGUACUUGGGACUUCCCAUCUUCCGCUUCUACGGUGCCCGGCAGAGAUCACUUUCAAGUGGUUCAUAGUGCUGAAGUGUCUCGCCCAGCCGCAGGCAGGGAGUGGCAGCGCGUCAGCUGGAGGAGAAUGAAGGGAACGUGGGUGCCAAGGUCUGCCCUGCGAUAUCUUGAGAACGCCGUGGAGCACAGAGCCGCUUGGAACUUGCAAGCUGAGAAAGUCUUGGAGGAAGAGGAGAAGAUGAUGCAGGAGGAGAGGGGGAAAGGAGGAGAGAAACAAUCCCUGGCAAAAAAAAAAAUCCCUAGGGCGCUAUGAAGGGCAGCAGGGCCCUGCCCAGUCCCCUUCAAAGCCUGGCUGAGCCCCUGGGGAGCUCUGCAGUGCGGAAGGGUCUUGCCUGGACCCGUUAAGCCCGGCCCCAGCCCCGGGGUCUCUCUCUGGCGGGCGGCAGAGCAGCCUGCAGAGCCCGGCCUCAGCCCCGGGGUCUCUGGAGGGAGGCAGGGCAGCCCGUGAAGCCCUGCCCCAGCCCCCAGGGUCUCUGGAGGGAGGCAGGGCAGCCUGUGGAGCCCGGCCCCAGCCCGGGGUGUCUCUCCGGAGGGCGGCAGGGCAGCCUGCGGGGCUCGGCCCGGCCCGGCCCGGUCCCGGGGCUCUGCGGGUCCCGGUACUGCCACUCCCCCCCCCCGGUGUGAUGCGGCGCGGCCGCUAGGCGGCGCUGUUCGCACAUGCGCAACUCCAGCGGUGAAGCCGGUCGCCGCUUUCCCGCCGUUGCGCGGCGGUAGGGCAGGCGGGCGCCGUGCGCAUGCGCAGCGUGGGCUGCCCGCGCUCUGCCGCCCUCGGGUGGGGAAGGGCCAGCAGCGUAGGUGGGCCCCCACCCCCGACGACGCAUGCGCGCUGCGGUCCGGCGGGGCGCGGCGGCGGUGGCCGUCAGGCUCCCGCAUGCGCAGUGCGGCGCCAUGUUGGGCUCCUGGGAAUGGCGGGAGCUGUAGUCUUCUGGCACUGGGCUUCCAGGGUGCCGUAGAGCAUUGCACACCAUCUCGGGAGCUGUAGUCUUUGGCGUAGCCUUCUUCGAACUCCUCUUGUUCCUUCAGAUUCCCUCCCCAGGCCCUCAUUUUUGUCUCUGAGCCGCCUUUUGUUCUGGCCCCUUCAGGACUUCCCUACUUCUGUCAGAAGUCCCGCUGAGUUCUUUGUGCCCCACAGCCGUCUUUUAUCCCUUUGGAUCCCUCUUGUUCCCUCAGAACGCCUCCUGAGGUCUUUUUUUUGUGCCCCGCAGCAGUUUUCAUCCCCUGUGCUAUCUAGGAUGACCCUGUUCACUCCCUCGCCCUGUGAUGACACCUGUACUCUGCUCGGAUCCCAUCCCGAGUUCUUCGCUGUGUCCCCAGGCAAGGGAAGGUGAGGAGCCACCAGCAGCUUUCGGUCCCGGCCACUUCUGGGUGGGAGCCCUGGAUGGUGGGUCUCCGUUUUGGACCCAGGCUCUGGCGAGAGCGAGGGGCUUGGUGAGGGUGAGGAUUAGGUGGUAGAGCAACCACAGAGCCCCACAAGCACCCCCACCCCAGCACAGCCCUUUUCCAGGGUGCUGACCUCCAGGGUUCCCCAGGGAUUUUCCCGGGCUUUGCCAGGGCACGGGCAUGGCCCUGCUGCCCUCCAGAGAGCCCCAGGGCCUUUGCUGGGCUUUGCUGGUACCUGCAAGGAGCCCUCCUUCUCUUCAGAAUUCCCUGAGUCCUUGUCCAUGUUCAGCCAAAGCCCUGGCAGGGCUCUCCUGCCUUCCAGAGAACCCCAGAGCUUUUGCCAGGAUCCGCAAGGAGCCGUGCAUCUCUCCGGAGUUCUCCGAGUCCUUUGCCAGGACCCUGCUGCCCUCCAGAUUUUCUUGGCACCUUCACCAGCCUUUGGAGGGGCCUGGGCAGUGUCCUCCUGCCCUCCAGAAAGCCCCAGAGCCUUCAGCGGGCUUUGCCUGGGCCCGGGCAGUGCUUGCUGUCCUUAAAGGGCGUUUUGGAAAAGGGCUCGUUCAUCUCGUGCAGUGAAGUUCCAUCUUGCUCCAGCUGAUGGCACGAUUGGGAGCGUGUAGAGCAGAGAUUUUUCCCAGGAAGAUAGACGGCAUGUUGGACAAAGUCCCAGUUCUCCCGCUCGAGUAUUUGAUACUGUACAGCGUGGGUCUCAGCCUCGCACCACACCAGUAUUCCCACCAAUAAUGAGUUCAGAGAAGAGCCUGUUUCUUAUAAAAGGAGAAAAUAAAUACAAGCCAGGGCAAGUCACUAGGUCAGAGAUGAGACAAGAAUUAUCUGCAGGACAAGCAACCAGCAGUUUGAGGCUGUAAAGGAGUUGAAGCCAUAGGAAUGGGCUCCCACCAGCAGGAGUUAAUGGCAUGUCAGUCCACAGGAGAGCUUCCUUCCAUAGCACAUGUGUGUUUGAGGCAAUAAUCCCUCCAGGGUUUCAGCUCCUUCUGUGUCUGACUUACAGCUGUGUAACCUUCCAAACACACAGCAAAGGCAUUUUUCUCUGGGAAAGUGUCAGCUCCCUUUGGCCUCACGCUGACAAUCAGCCAUUGUGUGUCCAUUUGGUGAUCCAAAGCGCCCUACAAGAGACUCCGAGUUGGCUGGGCUGAACACCUGGGCUUUCCUGGUGCAAUUGCAUACGGCAAACAGCCUUUGAGUUAAUACUGUGGUGUAUGGAGUGAAAUCGGGUCUCUGGGAUGGGAAUUCUGUGCCAUUUAGAGCAGCUAGUGGCUCAGUAACAUGUAGGUUAGGAAUGCGUGUUUACAAGGUCUUGCAAUGGCAAAAAUUGAUUAUACAUAUGGGGACAAAAGUCUACCUCCUGAUUUUCUCUGCAUUUUGUGGAUUCUGCUGUUUGAGCAAGAAAAAAAAUUAUUUAUUUCAGGGAGGCAGAUUUGCUUAAUCCUUUUCUUCCUGGCUCUGUCACUUGUAUCAGAGUAUGACCUUAGGAAGCACAUAAGCUUUGCUGCAAAAUUUCCGUAUCUUUAGCAUGACGAUAAUAACUAAUACCUCACAGGAUGCUGGAGCGAAACUAGUUAAUAUUCAAAAAGAUCUUUAAGCUUUUUAUUGAUUCAGAUCUUAAUAAAGCCAUUGCUUGCAACACAAGGUUUGCUUUCUAAAAUCAUUUUAAAACAGCAUAAACUCCAUAUUCUUUCUAAAACGUGAUGGCAAAUUCAUGAGAGCUCUUACAGGAUGGUUUCUGUCAUCUGAACAUCAUGUGUAGUUUUUGUUUGUUUUCUCUUCAUACAUUCUUAAUAAGAAAUCUUUGCAUUUGGAUUCUGAUUAAAAAAUGUCCUUGGCAGGGCAGUUUUUUAUUGUUGCCUGGCAGGUCUCAACACUUUCACAGAUGUUUCUCCAUCAUUUACAUUCAGAUUCUAUUUCUGCAGUUUUCUCUGUAACCAAAGUGCACCACUUCAUUAAUUUCUUUAUGGAAGCUGAGUUUUUGGAAUAAAAGGCAGCGACCUGAGGCAGUUGGUGUGUGCUCGGUUAUCGUAUCUCCAUAGCUGGAAUGGUAGCUCUCUGGGAACAUGAGAACAUAUGCAACUACAAGACCAGCCCUCUUUUAGUCAAUGAAACCGUGGACCAAAGUUUCAUGAGAUCCUUUUCCAACAGGUAUAGAUUAUCUCUCAGCAUGUUGUGGAAGGGACCUGCAUGAAGGGAAUCACUAGGGUCACUGUGGCAGUGCAUGUGCUUUUUUGCUCCUAUGUCAUGAUGUGAUCUAGCUGGGUUUUUGUAGGCCAGCAACCCAGCUGGUGGCAGACAGGGAGUAUGUAACUAAAACUAUGAUUUGGUAAGAAAGGAGCCUGCAUACCCUGACUUUCCUGGGUGGAGAGCUUGGCAGUCCUCAGAUAGUUCCUUUCCAGCUUGGGUUUUUCUUUCUCUUUGGCCUCAGGAGAAGGGGCCCGCUGGGGAGCUGCCCUUUACAAACCUUGUCUCUAUCUUCUUGCACCUUCACAAGGCUCCUGUGUUUAGUCUGGGGCUUGCUGUAACUUAGCAGCAUUAGGUAACUUAACAAUUACAGUAACCUGCAAGAAUGCCUGACUGAAAACCCCUCUGUGCCCGGCAAAGGGGCUCCACUGGGGAGGUGAGUGGGUUCAUGAUGUUGUACCCUCCCUCUUUUCCUUUUACAGCACUUCGAAGUCUAAUAAAAGCUGCUGAUUCCCA
Molecule: long non-coding RNA, 4444 nt
Organism: Aquila chrysaetos chrysaetos
Lineage: Eukaryota; Metazoa; Chordata; Aves; Accipitriformes; Accipitridae
Exons: 5
Source: RefSeq, a predicted model, not a curated record